Molecule: ribosomal RNA, 328 nt
Filed under: uncultured bacterium
Lineage: Bacteria
Description: bacterial SSU rRNA
Rfam family: Bacterial small subunit ribosomal RNA
Source: RNAcentral
GAAUAAGCCCCGGCUAACUUCGUGCCAGCAGCCGCGGUAAUACUAAGGGGGCUAGCGUUGUUCGGAAUUACUGGGCGUAAAGGGCGCGUAGGCGGUUUUCUAAGUCAGGUGUGAAAUCUCCGGGCUCAACUCGGAGGCUGCCCUUGAAACUGGAGUGCUUGAGUGUGGGAGAGGUGAGUGGAAUUCCCGGUGUAGAGGUGAAAUGCGUAGAUAUUGGGAGGAACACCUGUGGCGAAGGCGGCUCACUGGACCAUUACUGACGCUGAGGCACGAAAGCGUGGGGAGCAAACAGGAUUAGAUACCCUGGUAGUCCACGCCCUAAACGAUG